Molecule: ribosomal RNA, 426 nt
Filed under: uncultured bacterium
Lineage: Bacteria
Description: bacterial SSU rRNA
Rfam family: Bacterial small subunit ribosomal RNA
Source: RNAcentral
GAGGAAUUUUGCGCAAUGGGGGGAACCCUGACGCAGCAACGCCGCGUGAGUGAAGAAGGCCUUCGGGUCGUAAAGCUCUGUCGAGUGGGAAGAACAUCCGAUAGGUGAACAGUCUAUUGGACUGACGGUACCACAGAAGGAAGCACCGGCUAACUCCGUGCCAGCAGCCGCGGUAAUACGGAGGGUGCGAGCGUUAUUCGGAAUUAUUGGGCGUAAAGAGCGCGUAGGCGGCCUGUCAAGUCAGGUGUGAAAUCCCGGGGCUCAACCCCGGAAGAGCAUUUGAUACUGUCAGGCUUGAGUAUGGGAGAGGGAAGUGGAAUUCCUGGUGUAGCGGUGAAAUGCGUAGAUAUCAGGAGGAACACCGGUGGCGAAGGCGGCUUCCUGGACCAAUACUGACGCUGAGGCGCGAAGGCGUGGGGAGCAAAC